Molecule: ribosomal RNA, 446 nt
Filed under: uncultured bacterium
Lineage: Bacteria
Description: partial 16S ribosomal RNA
Rfam family: Bacterial small subunit ribosomal RNA
Source: RNAcentral
CCUACGGGUGGCAGCAGUCGAGAAUCAUUCACAAUGGGGGAAACCCUGAUGGUGCGACGCCGCGUGGGGGAAUGAAGGUCUUCGGAUUGUAAACCCCUGUCAUGUGGGAGCAAAUUAAAAAGAUAGUACCACACGAGGAAGAGACGGCUAACUCUGUGCCAGCAGCCGCGGUAAUACAGAGGUCUCAAGCGUUGUUCGGAAUCACUGGGCGUAAAGCGUGCGUAGGCUGUUUCGUAAGUCGUGUGUGAAAGGCGCGGGCUCAACCCGCGGACGGCACAAGAUACUGCGAGACUAGAGUAAUGGAGGGGGAACCGGAAUUCUCGGUGUAGCAGUGAAAUGCGUAGAUAUCGAGAGGAACACUCGUGGCGAAGGCGGGUUCCUGGACAUUAACUGACGCUGAGGCACGAAGGCCAGGGGAGCGAAAGGGAUUAGAUACCCUAGUAGUC